Malus domestica (apple) is the source of this 4404-nucleotide non-coding RNA. The record is from RefSeq and is a predicted model, not a curated record. Lineage: Eukaryota; Viridiplantae; Streptophyta; Magnoliopsida; Rosales; Rosaceae.
GCUACAGAAAGUUUUGGCCGCGGAAGAUUUGAACUCUUCAAACACCGUCUUUGCAAUUGGACCCCGCAAAGAAAAGACACGGUAGAAGAAAAUGAAAAAAGCCGCCGCACCAGCGGCAGCAGCCGCCGCGGAGGACUCUUCCUCCAUGUCAUGCAAAGACGUUCCCAAUCUCCUCUCCUCUUUCGUCGACACGUUCGUCGACUUCUCCGUCAGCGGCGGCCUCUUCCUCUUACCCCAAAUUCCCAAUAAUCCACUUCCCGCCUCCCCUCAAAAUCACCAGAAUGCCCUCCCUGCCCGCCACAGCUCCGACAAUCCCCUGCCCUCUCGCCCACCGCUGCAAACCUAUUACCCCCCGCAGGACCGUUUGGUUGCAAUCGGCGAUCUCCACGGCGACUUGGAGAAGACCAAGGAAUCGCUGAGGCUUGCUAAAUUAAUCGACCCGGAGUCGGGUAAAUGGGUCGGGGGGUCCACCACCGUGGUCCAGAUCGGCGACGUGAUGGACCGGGGCGGCGACGAGAUUAAAAUCCUCUAUUAUCUCGAGAAAUUGAAACGAGAAGCCGCCAGGUGCGGCGGCACGGUGAUUACGAUGCACGGCAACCACGAGAUCAUGAAUGUGGAAGGAGAUUUCAGGUUUGUGACCCGCAAGGGUUUGGAGGAGUUUAGGGUUUGGGCUGAUUGGUAUUCCAUUGGGAACCGAAUGAAGUCGCUCUGUAAAGGCUUAGAAAAGCCGAAGGAUCCCUUUGAUGGGGUGCCCUUAGGGUUUAAGAAUGUGAAGGAAGAGUAUGCUGAUGGGUUUAGGGCAAGAAUUGCAGCAUUGAGGCCAUCCGGUCCAAUUUCGUCGCGGUUCUUGUCGGAUAACGUGGCUGUGUUGGUUGUGGGGGACUCUGUUUUCGUCCACGGCGGGCUUUUGAGCCAGCACGUAUCGUAUGGUUUGGAGAAGAUCAAUGAGGAGGUGAGGGAUUGGAUUCAUGGGUUGAAGGGAAGAAUCGCGCCCGAGUUUUGUCACGGUGCGAAUGGUGUGGUUUGGCUAAGGAAGUUUUCGCUUGGAUUGGAGGAUAAGUGUGAUUGUUCAGCACUUGAACAUGUUUUAGCUACCAUUCCCGGCGCAAAGAGGAUGAUUAUGGGUCAUACCAUUCAAGAGUUUGGGAUUAAUGGCGUUUGCAACGAGAGAGCAAUUCGGAUUGAUGUAGGGAUGUCCAAGGGGUGUAUUAAUGGCUUGCCCGAAGUUUUGGAGAUCAAAGGGAAUUCGGGUAUGAGGAUCUUGACGUCGAAUCCACUGUACAAGAACAAGAAAAAAUCUACUGUGCAUAAUGAGAGGCCUGCAUUUUUGCCGCAAGGACCAAAACAAGUGGAAGUGAAGGCUUAGCUGUUUUGUUUGAAGGAAUAACUCUGGUGGCUCAAGUUUUGAAACUAAUGGAUCUGGAGACAGUUAUUCAGCUGCUAUUACCCCUCGUAGCCUUCUUUGUUUCAAAACUGCCUCAACCUCAAGCUCUCCUGCAAGCUCCUGCUCACGAGACUUUUCGUGUCUUGUUUCAUGGCGUACAGUGUAACUUGAAUUACUUCUUGUUCAUAUCUAUAAGGUAAAUAGGCAUGUCUGAAUUACAGUUCCGUUGAAGAAAAGCCUGCCUUUGAUUUGGUUUAGUCCAAUGCACUCUUGUGGAUUUUCUCAAAUAGAUGGCUAACAAGGGAACGUGAUCAAACGAAGACGAGCAAAUCUGGCCUUCCUGAAGGGAGUAGUUCCAAAUGUCCCAGGCCAGCGUUAACUGAUAUGCAUUGUUUGACAUAAAAAGGAAACUGAUAUGAGAUGCAGUAGCUUUGUUUGAUUUUGGAUGAAGAGCAUGGAAGGUACGGUAACUUGUUUACCUUCAUUACUUCCUGACGCUACACUCUUAUAAUUGAUUGGAUUGAUAUAUUCAAGCAUUUGAUAUGUUCAAAUUGUAGAAAAUGUCGACGCCGAAAUAUUUGGUCGAUUCUGAAAAGCAUAGGUGCUGAAUUACAUAACUUGUAGGGAAGGGCACAAUGUGAUUUAAUGGAGAAUAAGAUGAUCAAUGAACUUGUUAGCCAAGCAUUGAUCGUCCAAUCUUUCUAGCUGCCCUACAAUAAUAGCGGACUUGUUACGGUACAACUCUGAACCUAGACGCUUAUGCGUCUAGAUUACAUUCCUUAGGUAUCGGCAUGCAGUUUUAUCGCUGUUGGGUGAGAAGAGGUAGAGGUCAGUACUUUAUUUGAAGACCAAGUUUUGUAACUUCCGGUGACUGAGAUAUAGUAAGUUAUCGAGACCAAAAAUGUCUUGUGAUACUGUUUGGGGAUAUGAUAAGCUAAUUCAAGUGAUGUCUAUUUGUUGGGCCGAGGGACUAAUUCAGUUAUUAGUGUAUAGAUAUUUUUCUUCUCAACGUUACAAUAUGUCCCAAGUUAAAAUCACCCCUCAAUUGCUAAAAAGUGCAUAUUAUGAGUUGAAAGUAGAAUAUCAUUAGAUAGUUAGUAGCCAACAAUGCGUACCAACAAGUGGCUCAGUAGAAAAGUGCGGACAGUAACUCCCUAAAGAAAAUAAGGGGAGGUCUUGAUUUCGAUACUUUGUAAGCUGUGAAGUUGCUUGAUUAUGAUCAUGGUAGAGUGCAAUGCUUAACUACCCUCCUUUAAAUGCGAAAGGAGUGGAUAACUUUUGUUCGCCAUCAGUGUCUUUCUUUUUUAAAGGAAGAAAAAAACAACGCCGACCGACAUGUCACACAUGGGCAGAGUUGAUCUGAGAAGGCCUCAAAAUUAUCCUUACUCAGCAUUAAUACUGUUUGACAAAAUUGUAAAAGCAGAAAAGCUAAAUGACACUGGUAGUAGUUAGGGUAGUCAUUAAUGAAAAUAAACAUCAUCAGAGCUGCACAGCACGUGGGCAUGAGAUUUUUUAAGUGGAUUCGAAACACGAGCUGGCAUAACAGGUGUCACAAUACAAGUGAAGAAAAUACUUAAAAUUUUAUUCGUCUUCAUUUAUAUUAUAAGAUACGAUGUACUCACUUGUGUUCCGACUACAUAGAAAAAUCUCUUGUAAGGAUGUUGUAUCAUUGUACACUGCUAAUACCAUUGGUGUAGAUGAGAAAUACGGAGAUGUGCAAUGUAACAUGGGUAAAUAGACCUCCAUCUUUGUUGGUUCAUGUUCUUAACAAUGAUGGCUUAUCAUGUCCCCCUUAAUCUUAAUAUCGGCAGUGAAGGGGGCGACGUUUUAACUUGGUUGAAGCGUCUUUUCCUUGUACCUCCCUUCACUGCUCGGCUUAUUUGCAUCUUAGUUAUUUGCAUGCCUUGAUGUAGCCUUUCCUAGUAAUGUUUGGCAUCUUUACCUGGUAAUGCUAUUCUCAGCUUCCAAAAAAAACAAAAAAAAAAAGCCUCAAUUAAUUAAUAGGGCCAAAGCCUCCUAAACAGCUCAUCACACUUGCUAUAAAUAACAAGGCCUGUGGAACUGAUAAAGCACCAAAACCAAAUGGUACGUUUGGAUUAAGCACUUUUGCACAGUUAGUAUAUCCAGUGGUAGCAUUAGAAAGGCUUAAUUCUCAAUGCCGAUUCGUGUUGCUUUUCAAGGGGCUCUUCUGGGUCUCUGGUUAUGCUUCUUUGCUGCAAGCUUCUGCUAUAGCAAUGGAGAGACCAUUGAGGUAACUGGUGAACAAGCAGCAGCCAAAGCUUUUUCAGAGCUGCAAAGAGCAGAAGCUGCAGAAGUCAAUGAAGAAGACAAAUUUAAAUUGCCUCCACACAAGCCAUUCUUCAAGAAGCCGGCUCCACCUCAUAUCUUUCCUCCAAAGCCCUUUUUCAAGCCACUCCCUCCACCAGCUCCAGUCUAUAAGAUUCCUCCCUACAAAAAGGGUCAUCCACCGGUUCCGGUUGUGGAAGAAAAGCCAUUUCUGAAGAAGCCAAUUUUCCAUCCACUUCCAAAAUUCAAGAAGCCACUUCUUCCGCCAAUUCCAGUUUACAAGAAGCCACUUCCUCCGCCAAUUCCAGUUUACAAGAAGCCACUUCCUCCGCCAAUUCCAGUUUACAAGAAGCCACUUCCUCCACCAAUUCCAGUUUACAAGAAGCCGUUUCCCCAUCCAAUCUUCAAGAAGCCGAUUCCAAAAUUCAAGAAGCCAUUUCCUCCGCAUCCAUUCCUUGGGAAGCCAUUUCCUCCGCAUCCAUUCCUUGGGAAGCCGUUACCUCCCACUGUUCCCUAAACUAGACUAGCUACUUUUCCUUCCAAAUAAGAGAUGAGUAGCAUAUAAAUAGCUAUAGAAUAAAGUCCUACAUGGAGAGAGAAAUGAGGUUGUUGUAACUUUAUUAUCUUGAAAUUGUGGGUUGUGUUGUUGUACUUGUUUGAUUCUGCUGUUAUGCAGCUACCUUGUAUUACGACCUUUGCAUUUAUAAAUUACUGGAAAAAAAAAAAUUUCUUCA